GGAGAGGUGGCUGAGUGGUUGAAAGCGGCAGAUUGCUAAUCUGCUAUAUGGGUUAUACUUCCAUAUCGAGGGUUCAAAUCCCUUUCUCUCCUC
Molecule: transfer RNA, 93 nt
Filed under: Neogoniolithon spectabile
Lineage: Eukaryota; Rhodophyta; Florideophyceae; Corallinales; Spongitidaceae
Description: tRNA-Ser
Rfam family: tRNA
About the family: Transfer RNA (tRNA) molecules are approximately 80 nucleotides in length. Their secondary structure includes four short double-helical elements and three loops (D, anti-codon, and T loops).
Source: RNAcentral